GAAAACAUCCCUCCUCUCUGCUCUCUGUUUUUCGUUAUAACAGAGAAUCGGUUCCGCUUCUUCUUCAUUCCCUGGUCUCAACAACUCAGGGAGUGAUCAGGAGACGGUGAAGAGGAUGAAGGGGUUGGGAUUUCUUCUUACUGUUGCGCUUACGCUUCUGGGUUUCUGCCACGUAUUUGUGGCGGCAGUGGAGAGGAACGAUGAAGAGAGGAGGACCUACAUCGUUCACAUGGCCACAUCCCAAAUGCCGGAGAGUUUCCAGGAGCGUGCACACUGGUACGACUCGUCAUUGAAAUCGGUAUC
Molecule: long non-coding RNA, 303 nt
Filed under: Vitis vinifera (wine grape)
Lineage: Eukaryota; Viridiplantae; Streptophyta; Magnoliopsida; Vitales; Vitaceae
Description: long non-coding RNA (VVIN_LNC002248)
Source: RNAcentral